This 75-nucleotide transfer RNA is filed under the name Chitinophaga sp. MD30. RNAcentral describes it as "tRNA-Thr". It matches the Rfam family "tRNA". From Rfam's summary of the family: Transfer RNA (tRNA) molecules are approximately 80 nucleotides in length. Their secondary structure includes four short double-helical elements and three loops (D, anti-codon, and T loops). Lineage: Bacteria; Pseudomonadati; Bacteroidota; Chitinophagia; Chitinophagales; Chitinophagaceae. The record is from RNAcentral.
GCGUUGUAGCUCAGUGGCAGAGCAUUCCGGUGUGUGGCCGGGAGGUCAUGGGUUCAAUUCUCAUCAACUGCUCCA